This 555-nucleotide ribosomal RNA is filed under the name uncultured bacterium. RNAcentral describes it as "partial 16S ribosomal RNA". It matches the Rfam family "Bacterial small subunit ribosomal RNA", at positions 355 to 900 of the family's 1533-position model. The record is from RNAcentral.
UAGGGAAUCUUCCACAAUGGACGCAAGUCUGAUGGAGCAACGCCGCGUGAGUGAAGAAGGUUUUCGGACCGUAAAGCUCUGUUGUUGGUGAAGAAGGAUAGAGGUAGUAACUGGCCUUUAUUUGACGGUAAUCAACCAGAAAGUCACGGCUAACUACGUGCCAGCAGCCGCGGUAAUCGUAGGUGGCAAGCGUUGUCCGGAUUUAUUGGGCGUAAAGCGAGCGCAGGCGGAAGAAUAAGUCUGAUGUGAAAGCCCUCGGCUUAACCGAGGAAUUGCAUCGGAAACUGUUUUCUUGAGUGCAGAAGAGGAGAGUAGAACUCCAUGUGUAGCGGUGGAAUGCGUAGAUAUAUGGAAGAAUACCAGUGGCGAAGGCGGCUCUCUGGUCUGCAACUGACGCUGAGGCUCGAAAAGCAUGGGUAGCGAACAGGAUUAGAUACCCUGGUAGUCCAUGCCGUAAAACGAUGAGUGCUAAGUGUUGGGAGGCUUCCGCCUCUCAGUGCUGCAGCUAACGCAUUAAGCACUCCGCCUGGGGGAGUACGACCGCAAGGUUGAAAC